This is an RNA transcript of Arachis duranensis, 4722 nucleotides long. It is a transcript of the gene named nuclear pore complex protein NUP160, with no coding region annotated. The transcript is spliced from 28 exons. NCBI's taxonomy places the organism in Eukaryota, Viridiplantae, Streptophyta, Magnoliopsida, Fabales, Fabaceae. The record is from RefSeq and is a predicted model, not a curated record.
UAUUGUACUGUUCUUCCUGCAGCUUAGCUUAGUAGAACCCUACACUGAGAAAAAACCCUUCUUUUUUUAAGGGUUUUUGCUUCUUAGCUUCGAAUUUCAAAAUGGGAACUGAUUCCACUCUCGCCGGCAAGGAAGUCCCCAUCAUCGGAACCGACGUCUUUCGGUGGAUCGAACUCUCCGUCCCUUCUUCCUCCUCCAACAUCCCCAGCGCCGUCGACGGCACCAACGCCACCACAAUUGCUCCUCCCACCGUUGACGACCGCGCUUCCUGCUUCGUCCUCGAAGAUCCUUCAGCUUAUCUAAUUUGGAGAAUCCACAAGUUGCAGCCUCAUGCUCUUGAGCUUCUUGAGCUCAAUGCUUCGAAGGAAUUACCCAAAGCCGGUCUCAGAUUCAUAUUCCCUUACCAGCUUUGUCCAUUUGCAUUCGUCUGCAAAAAUGAGAUUAGUAGGAAUUCUAGGUUUCCUUACUUGUUAUAUGUGUUGACUGUGACUGGGGUGGCCUAUCUUUUGAAAAUUCGGAAUGUUUCGGCUUAUGCAUCGAGUGCCCUCUUCCCAGCAGAGGAUCUUUUCGAGCUUAAUGUGUGCGAUUAUGUUUCUAAUCAUGUGCCGAUAACUGCUGUUACUGCAACGGCUGGGUGUGUUGUUGUUGGCAGAAGUGAUGGUUCUGUGUGCUGUUUCCGCCUUGGCGUGAUUGACACAAGUGCUCCUGGUUUUGUGCAUGAGCUGAGAGAUGAAGCUGGAGUCAGCCGUUUGUGGGGUUUGAUGUCACGGGGUAAAAUGGUGGGUGCUGUACAGGACAUGGAAAUAUCUGAGUUACAUGGGAAAAGGUUUGUGUUUGUGCUUCAUUCAGAUGGGACAUUACGAAUUUGGGAUCUUUCAUCUCAUAGCAGGGUCUUUAAUCAUACCGUAACAGGUGCUACCUUUCGAAGGUUAUGGGUGGGUCAAUUUGACCCUGAUUCAAGUACAAUUCCUCUGUCAAUUUUAUACAAACACGGUUUGGAUGAAGAGUUGGAGAUGAUUUCUUUACAUAGUAUCCGAUAUAAUUUUGGGGAGAGAAAUGUUUUUUCUAUGGAUCCUUCAGUGCAAAAUAUCACCUUGGAGGAGGGACAAUGCCUUGACGUUAAAAUAACACUGGAUAAGAUAUGGAUAUUGAAAGAUGAUGAAUUGGUUUCACACAUGUUAACAACAAACGUUGAGGAGGUAGAAGCAUUUUCUUAUGCUUUACAAGAAGAAGUUGUUGCUGAUCAGCUGUUUCAAAGUUCAGAACAUCAAGCAGAUGAAAUCUUGCAAAUUGCAUGUUCAAUAUUUUCAUCUUCAAAGGAGGAUGUUGUGCCAUUUAUAUCUUCUAUAUUCCUGCGCAAACUGCUUCUUCCUGGGGUGCAUCAUAAUGCUGCUUUGCAUGCAACACUUGCUGAAUAUAGCAGGCAUUUGCCUGAAUCUGACUUACAAGCAUUAACUGCUGAUGGACUAAAACAGGAGGUUCUGUCACUCAUUGAACAUGAGGUUGGUUCUGAAAAGCUGUCCAUACUGCAUUCUUGGAAAUGUUUUCUGACCCGCUAUUUCCACAAUUGGUGCAAGAACAAUGCAAUAUAUGGCUUGCUUGUUGAUUCUUCAACUGAUGCUGUUGGUUUAAUCAGAAAAAGUUCGGUUUCAAUUUUUCGGUCUUUGGAAGAUAUUGAGCGGAUUGUAGAAGGGUCUUCAGAUGAAGUUGGUGAGCUCACAGGCCUUGUGGAUUUACUUGAUGAUGAUCUUGAAUGUGAAAUUCUGGUCGAAUUACUUAGAUGUGUUAUGAGUUUCAGCCAACAGUUGGGCAAAACUGCAUCCUCUAUUUUUUAUGAAUCAGUUUUAACUGCACCAGUGAUUUCAUCUGAAGACAUUGUUCACUGUAUAGUGAAGAUUCUGGAAACUGGAUCUUGUAUAUCAGGGCCCAAUGAGAAGGAGCUUAUAGAUCACAAAAGCUUGAGAAAACUUUCUGCUGAAAUGUUCUUAUCUCUUCAAAGCUUGUACAGAAAGGCUUCUGCAUGGAGCAGAAUUUUAAAUGUAAUUCAGGGUUUCUUGAAAUUUUUGGUUCCACAGAAAAUAAUACAAAAUUUUGAUACUGAAGUGUCAUCAAAUAUAAACUCCUCCAUUAUAGUGCAUACUACUUAUCAGAUUUCGAAAGUGAUGUUUGAAUCUGCCUGGGAUUUCCUUCUAUUUUUAAGUUAUCUGGUGGACAUCGGUGGUCAGGUCCACUUGUCACAUGAUGAUAUCACCAAAAUACAACUUGAGAUAGUUCCAAUGCUUCAAGAAAUUAUUUUUGAAUGGCUAAUCAUCAACUUCUUUGCCAUCACACCAUCUGCACCAGCUACAACUGAGGACUUCAAUUCUAAACUUUCAUCAUUACAUAUAGAUUGCAACACGGGGAAACAAUUAUGGAAUGAGAAGCUUGGUAGACGCGACUUUACAUUGGCUUUUAUAUUGCUGCUAAAUGUUAGAAGUUCAUCAACAGACCAUGGCCACCUUUUAAAAAGAUUUCCAAAUAUGCAGAGCUUUGUUAACAGGAUGAGAGACUUUAUCAGUUGGAUCAUAUGGGGCCAGUCUGGUGGAUCAUCUAAUUUCCUGAGUCGUUCAAUUGAUCUUGCAUUUAUCCUUUUCAAGCAUGGCCAGUAUGAGGCUGCUGAGCAAUUGCUCAUGAUGGCGGAAGCACAUCUUCUAAAGGAGAAGACAUCCCAAAGUAUUCAAGAAUCUGAUGGUGGAUGGUGCAUACGCCAACAUCUUCUAGGAUGCUGCCUCCUUGCACAGGUGCAGUGUGGAUUGCAUACAACACAGAAGGACAACAAGGUUUUUGAUGCCAUUCGCUGUUUCUUCAGAUCUUCAUCUGGAAAUGGUGCAUCCGAGGCUUUGCAGAGUUUGUCUGAAGAUGUCGGAAUUCCGUAUCUUGGUUUUAGUGGUUGUGCAUCAACGGCUGCUUGGAAGCUUCAAUACUAUCAAUGGGCUAUGCAGUUAUUUGAACGAUAUAGUAUUAGUGAAGGUGCUUGCCAGUUUGCUCUUGCUGCACUUGAACAAGUUGAUGAAGCUAUGAAAGAUGAGAAUAACCCGGUUAAUGGAUCCAUUACAACCACAAGGGGCCGACUAUGGGCGAAUGUCUUCAUAUUUGCAUUAGACCUUGGUCGCUAUUAUGAUGCUUAUUGUGCAAUAGUUUCAAAUCCAGAUGAGGAGAGCAAAUACAUCUGCUUGAGGCGUUUCAUAAUUGUUCUUUACGAACAAGGUGCUAUAAAGAUUCUUUGUAGCAAUAAACUUCCCCUUAUUGGGCUAGUGGAAAAGGUAGAGCAAGAGCUUGCUUGGAAGGCUGAACGAUCAGAUAUUUCUGCAAAGCCAAACUUGUACAAGUUGCUCUAUGCAUUUCAAAUGCAUCAGCAUAAUUGGCGACGAGCAGCAAAUUACAUGUAUAUGUAUUCAACUCGUUUGAGAACUGAAGCUGCUUCAAAAGAUUACCAAGGCAGUUCAUUGAUGUUGCAAGAGAGGCUGAAUGCACUCUCCGCUGCUAUCAAUUCACUACACCUUGUUCAUCCUGCAUAUGCCUGGAUUGAUCCACCAGCUAAUGGAAGUUCUCUUCUUGGUGAACAUUACCCAAGUAAGAAAGCUAAAAGAAUACCUGAAGAUCAUUCAGCUGAUAAUGAUGCUGAGCCUGAAAGGUGGCAGUCUUGUAUUGAUGUUGAAAAACUCGAGAAUGAGUUUGUGCUAACUUCAGCAGAGUAUAAGCUAUCGCUGGUAAAUGUCAAGUGGACAUUUUCUGGCAAAGAUGGAGCCCUAUCAGAUUUGGCUGAACUUCUUGUCAACAAUAAUUUGUAUGAUAUGGCCUUCACGAUCCUUCUCAGAUUUUUCAAGGGUUCAGCACUGAAGAGGGAAUUGGAAAGAGUUUUAUCUGCUAUUUCAUUGAGAUGCUGUCUUGAUAAAGUAGAAUCUACUUGGGUUGAGGAACAUGGCCAGUUAGUGACGUCUUCUAAGCUUGAGAUGGUUGUCCAUGGUUCACCUGUUACACAUCACACAACUCCACAAACUGACGGUAGUAGUUGCUGGGCAACUCUGAAGAUUUACCUUGAAAAAUAUAAGGAAUUUCAUGGGAGAUUGCCUGUUAUUGUUGCCGAAACUCUUCUACGUGCAGAUCCUCAGAUUGAAUUGCCCCUUUGGCUGGUUCAGUUGUUCAAGGAGGGACAAAAGGAAAGGAUGUCCGGUAUGAGUGGCCGGGAGUCAAAUCCUGCAUCUUUAUUUCAGCUUUAUGUUAGCUAUGGUCGAUAUACAGAAGCUACUAAUCUUUUGCUCGAGUGCAUACAAUCGUUUGCUUCAGUGAGGCCAGCGGAUAUUAUUAGAAGGAAAAGAUCCUUUGCUGCUUGGUUCCCAUACACGACAAUCGAGCGCCUACUAUACCAACUUGAGGAAUUGACUAGAAAGGGUCACAUGGUAGAACAAUGCGACAAGCUCAAAAGGAUGCUUCUCAGUUCUUUGCAAAACCAUCUAAAGACACUAAAGGUGGACUCAGAAGAUGCAAUUUCUGUAUCUUCAUGAUUACUAGCUUGUUGGUUAGUGGUUACCAGAUGCUGUAAAGGGUAGCGAUACAAGUAUAUUCACUAUUUCUUUUUUAUGACACUUCCUAAAGAUGAUUACCUCUGUUAACUGACGCGUAAUCCAGCAAAUAGAGCGUUGACACAAUGCUCCAAUGUUAUGGAUGAAGUCAUGGCAGAAA